RNAcentral lists this ribosomal RNA (356 nucleotides) under uncultured bacterium. RNAcentral's name for it is "bacterial SSU rRNA". It matches the Rfam family "Bacterial small subunit ribosomal RNA", at positions 29 to 412 of the family's 1533-position model. The record is from RNAcentral.
AGCGAACGCUGGCGGCAGGCCUAAUACAUGCAAGUCGAGCGGGUCCUUCGGGAUUAGCGGCGGACGGGUGAGUAACGCGUGGAACGUGCCCUUUGGUACGGAACAACUGAGGGAAACUUCAGCUAAUACCGUAUGUGCCCUUCGGGGAAAGAUUUAUCGCCAUUGGAGCGGCCCGCGUUGGAUUAGGUAGUUGGUGAGGUAAAGGCUCACCAAGCCUACGAUCCAUAGCUGGUCUGAGAGGAUGACCCAGCCACACUGGGACUGAGACACGGCCCAGACUCCUACGGGAGGCAGCAGUAGGGAAUCUUGCGCAAUGGGCGGAAAGCCUGACGCAGCCAUGCCGCGUGAAUGAUGAA